RNAcentral lists this unclassified non-coding RNA (413 nucleotides) under Bombus terrestris (buff-tailed bumblebee). RNAcentral describes it as "misc RNA ENSBTSG00005031914.1". Lineage: Eukaryota; Metazoa; Arthropoda; Insecta; Hymenoptera; Apidae. The record is from RNAcentral.
ACGAACAAAAGUUAAAAGAAAAUUCCAGUUUCUCUAAUUAAAUUACUGUUCUAGGAUGGAUUAGGCUACUUUACUUUAAAACGUCAUCAUAACUUUCUCAGUUUUGGUUGGAUGUAUUAAGAAAAAUUGUUACUAAUCCUUUAUAAAAACACGAAGUGAAACAGCCCAAACAUCAGUAAUUGUUCUUUUACAACUAGUUCAUUUAGUUUAUUGCUUACUUUAUCGCUUAUUUCGAAUAAAAUUUCGAAACAUUUUACUUUCUACUACUAUUUUUCAAUUUUCUACCACCAGAGGACAGUACUUCGUGUACUAGUAGAAAAUGAUAGGUUAUCUAGAAGAUAAAUUGUAUUAAUAAAAUGAAGGAAGUAGUAAAGCCAAAUGGCUAUGCUUUAAAAUCUAGGAAGGACAAGCGU